Molecule: long non-coding RNA, 387 nt
Organism: Vidua chalybeata
Lineage: Eukaryota; Metazoa; Chordata; Aves; Passeriformes; Viduidae
Exons: 3
Source: RefSeq, a predicted model, not a curated record
ACCUGCCCGAUCGUGGUGACACUGGGGACACCCGCGACCCCCGCGCCCGGUGCCCCCCCGGGGCUCCCCCCGCUGCCGUUCCCGCCGCCCCCGCCCUUCCUGCGCCCCCCGCCCCCCCCCGGGAGCGGCCCCGGGCCCCCCCCGCGGCUCUGAGCGCUCGGGCUGAGAAAUUCCUGAGGGAAAAGGAAAUUGCGGCAGCGGGAGACGGCGGCCAGAGCUCCUCCAGCCCCGAGUCCUCGCUCAGCUGCUCAGGCCUCACCCCAGCAGUGCUUUCCAGGGAGGGAAGAGCCGCAGCCCGGGGUAAUUCCCAUGGCAGGGGGGAGACAGAACGGGCAGACGGGGAUAUUAAUUAAUCAGAACUUCUGCCGUCCGUAACCAAUGGGCGCU